AGCAGCCGCGGUAAUUCCAGCUCCAAUAGCGUAUAUUAAAGUUGUUGCAGUUAAAAAGCUCGUAGUUGAAUUUCGGGGUCAGUAGGUUGGUCGUGCCACUGGUAUGCACUGGUCUCACUGAUUCCUCCCUCUUGUAGAACCGUAAUGCCAUUAAUUUGGUGUUGCGGGGAAACAGGACUGUUACUUUGAAAAAAUUAGAGUGUUUAAAGCAGGCUAACGCUUGAAUACAUUAGCAUGGAAUAAUGAAAUAGGACGUUCGAUCCUAUUUUGUUGGUUUCUAGGAUUGACGUAAUGAUUAAUAGGGAUAGUUGGGGGCAUUAGUAUUCAAUUGUCAGAGGUGAAAUUCUUGGAUUUAUUGAAGACUGACUACUGCGAAAGCAUUUGCCAAGGAUGUUUUCAUUAAUCAAGAACGAAAGUUAGGGGAUCGAAGACGAUCAGAUACCGUCGUAGUCUUAACCAUAAACUAUGCCGACUAGGGAUCGGAUGAUGUUAAUUUUUAAUGACUCAUUCGGCGCCUUAA
Molecule: ribosomal RNA, 520 nt
Filed under: uncultured Glomus
Lineage: Eukaryota; Fungi; Glomeromycota; Glomeromycetes; Glomerales; Glomeraceae
Description: SSU rRNA
Rfam family: Eukaryotic small subunit ribosomal RNA
Source: RNAcentral